UUCUUCAACACCCGCGAUGUUUUUGUAUUUGGCGCUUAACGGCUCAAGUGUCUUGGCAGCAUCUUCUUUGGUGGUAGCACCAAUGGAGGCAAAUUGAAUUUUGGUUUCAGAAGAUUGCUUAAGCACCUUGUCACCUUUGUAGACAUAGGUAAUGGCAAUUUCAGUGCCGUUCAGAUUGGCGCUGAAUUUCUUCGAUUCUUCUUUGUCACCGCAGCCAGCAAGAGAAAAAACCAGAACAGAUGCAACAACAAGGGAAAACAGCUUAUUGACAGCCUUCAUGUAAAACUCCAUUUUAUUUAAUCAAGGAACUGGUGACUCUCACCAGGGGCUAUAUAGGAUAUGCCUAAUACCGUGGCGUGAGCAGUCCGGAACUGGAGUAGAACUCUUA
This 388-nucleotide ribosomal RNA is filed under the name Escherichia coli FRIK920. Its description in RNAcentral is "partial 16S ribosomal RNA". Lineage: Bacteria; Pseudomonadati; Pseudomonadota; Gammaproteobacteria; Enterobacterales; Enterobacteriaceae. The record is from RNAcentral.